UGUGUGUGUGUGUGUGUGUGUGUGUGUGUGUGUGUGCUGAGACAAAAAUAAAAGUCUCUCUCUUUCCCACAGAGCUCUUCUACCCUUACAAGCGGCCCCUCAUGACGUAAUGUUUGUGGAGAUCAUCAGCUCGUUCAUACACAGCUCGUUUAGUGCACAUAGACAGUGAUGUCACAGUGUCACUGAGUAGUCAAAGUUGGGGAUCACAUUUCGAGAAGGAAGAGUGAAGAAGAGAAGGAUGAGGAGGAAGAGGAGGGGAAAGAAGAGGGUGAAAGAACUAGAUUGAAACAUUUCUCUGUUUUUAAAUAAAUAGAGAACUCUCA
This is a long non-coding RNA of Oncorhynchus tshawytscha (Chinook salmon), 323 nucleotides long. RefSeq lists it as uncharacterized. The record is from RefSeq and is a predicted model, not a curated record. Lineage: Eukaryota; Metazoa; Chordata; Actinopteri; Salmoniformes; Salmonidae. The transcript has 2 exons.